CAAACUCAAAGUUCGUGUUCUCCGUUAUUUUAGUGUGUGUAUUUCUCGAGUCCCAUGUUUCCCUAGCAGCUGACACUAUCAGUGAAAACCAAUCUCUCUCCGGCGAUCAAACCAUUGCUUCUGCUGGUGGGAUGUUUGAGCUAGGUUUCUUCAAACCAGGUCAGCUUUCAAACUACUAUAUAGGCAUAUGGUACUCCAAGCAAGUAGUAUCUAAGAUGACUGUUGUUUGGGUAGCAAAUAGGGAAAUACCAGUUUCUGAUAUAUUUUCUUCGGCAUUGAGCAUCUUAGA
RNAcentral lists this long non-coding RNA (289 nucleotides) under Malus domestica (apple). RNAcentral's name for it is "long non-coding RNA (MDOM_LNC007983)". The record is from RNAcentral. Lineage: Eukaryota; Viridiplantae; Streptophyta; Magnoliopsida; Rosales; Rosaceae.